CGGGGUGUGGCGCAGUUGGUAGCGUGCUUGACUGGGGGUCAAGAGGUCGCAAGUUCAAGUCUUGUCACUCCGAC
Molecule: transfer RNA, 74 nt
Filed under: Candidatus Venteria ishoeyi
Lineage: Bacteria; Pseudomonadati; Pseudomonadota; Gammaproteobacteria; Thiotrichales; Thiotrichaceae
Description: Thiotrichales bacterium HS_08 tRNA-Pro(ggg)
Rfam family: tRNA
About the family: Transfer RNA (tRNA) molecules are approximately 80 nucleotides in length. Their secondary structure includes four short double-helical elements and three loops (D, anti-codon, and T loops). Further hydrogen bonds mediate the characteristic L-shaped molecular structure. tRNAs have two regions of fundamental functional importance: the anti-codon, which is responsible for specific mRNA codon recognition, and the 3' end, to which the tRNAs corresponding amino acid is attached (by aminoacyl-tRNA synthetases). tRNAs cope with the degeneracy of the genetic code in two manners: having more than one tRNA (with a specific anti-codon) for a particular amino acid; and 'wobble' base-pairing, i.e. permitting non-standard base-pairing at the 3rd anti-codon position.
Source: RNAcentral